GACUCCGUGAAGCUGGAUUCGCUAGUAAUCGCGCAUCAGCCAUGGCGCGGUGAAUACGUUCCCGGGCCUUGUACACACCGCCCGUCAAGCCAUGGGAGCCGGGGGUGCUUGAAGUACGCUUACCGUAAGGGGCGUCCUAAGGCAAAACCGAUAAUUGGGGCUAAGUCGUAACAAGGUAUC
RNAcentral lists this ribosomal RNA (180 nucleotides) under uncultured bacterium. Its description in RNAcentral is "partial 16S ribosomal RNA". It matches the Rfam family "Bacterial small subunit ribosomal RNA", at positions 1314 to 1500 of the family's 1533-position model. The record is from RNAcentral.